CUUUCCAAACCCUGACCACAGCAGAAAGGACGGGGAUGAGCACUGACUGGAGCAAUCUGUUGACUGUCCCCUGUUGUAAACCACAGCUGCCUAAUUUUGAGAAACAGGGGCCGAGCCAUCAGAUGUAGGGGAAUGGAAGCUGAUGCCAACGGAAGCCCGGAGGUAAACUAGGGCCCCGGAAAAACGAAGAGGAAACAGAAAUUAUGAGUAAGCAGCGGAAGUUGAAACCUGACACUAAUUAAGCUAGUGCAAGAAGAAGAAGAAAAAGAAGAUGAAUCUUCCACCACACUGGAGAUAACCCAAGAAGUAAGAAAAACUGAUCUCUACCCAAAAAGGACAACAAUGGUGAAAGACUGCAUUUGCAACGGGGGUAAUAUACUCAGAGUUUAAAUUUCCGAAAGGACAAACAAAACAUGGAGAGUCUAAUGAGAUCUUCCAGCUGCUUCUCUCUGCUAAGAUACUACUCCCAAGAUGGAGGCUAAUCACUCUGAACAGCUCUCAGCGGAACGACAGUCAACACCUCCAGGUGACAGUUCAUCAUUACCCAGUCACAAUGGCCUGGAGAAGGAAGAUGGCCAGGAUUCUCCAACCCCAGUCCAACCACCAGAGAAAGAGGCAAGUGUGCACCCCGAUAUCUCUGAAGAGCUGAAUCGACAGCUGGAAGACAUCAUUAACACUUAUGGGUCUGCUGCCAGCACAGCAGGGAAAGAGGGCUCUGCCAGGGCCAGUGAGCAGCCUGAGAAUGCAGAAUCACCUGACAACGAGGAUGGGGACUGUGAGGAAACAACUGAAGAGGCUGGAAGAGAACCCGUUGCUUCUGGAGAGCCACCCACUGUCAAAGAGCCCGUCAGCAAUAAGGAGCAAAAAUUGGAAAAGAAAAUCCUAAAAGGAUUAGGCAAAGAAGCCAACCUGCUAAUGCAAAAUCUGAACAAGUUGCAAACACCGGAAGAAAAGUUUGAUUUUUUAUUCAAGAAGUAUGCUGAAUUGCUGGAUGAACAUCGUACUGAGCAAAAGAAGUUAAAGCUCCUCCAAAAGAAACAGGUACAAAUUCAAAAAGAAAAGGACCAGUUACAAGGUGAACACAGCAGAGCUAUCCUCGCUCGAAGCAAAUUGGAGAGUCUGUGCCGGGAGCUGCAGAGACACAACAAGACUCUGAAGGAAGAGGCGCUUCAGCGGGCACGUGAGGAAGAAGAGAAAAGGAAGGAAAUCACAAGCCAUUUCCAGAGUACCCUCACGGACAUCCAGGGCCAGAUCGAGCAGCAGAGUGAGCGAAAUAUGAAGCUCUGUCAGGAGAACACAGAGCUUGCAGAAAAGCUGAAAAGCAUCAUCGAUCAGUAUGAGCUCAGAGAGGAGCAUCUGGACAAAAUAUUUAAACACAGAGAACUGCAGCAGAAGCUGGUGGAUGCAAAGCUUGAGCAGGCCCAAGAAAUGAUGAAGGAAGCGGAGGAGCGACACAAACGAGAAAAGGAAUAUUUGCUGAACCAGGCAGCAGAGUGGAAACUUCAGGCGAAAGUGCUGAAGGAGCAAGAGACAGUCCUGCAGGCUCAGCUCACUCUCUACUCAGGAAGGUUUGAAGAAUUCCAGAGCACACUAACUAAAAGCAACGAGGUGUUUGCCACGUUCAAACAGGAAAUGGACAAAACAACUAAGAAAAUGAAGAAGCUGGAAAAGGACACAGCCACAUGGAAAGCCCGAUUUGAGAACUGUAACAAAGCUCUGUUGGACAUGAUUGAAGAGCCCUCCUGACUGCUCCAAGAAUUUCAUCGAACAAGACUCAAAGAGGCCCAGCUGCUCUGCGUUUUGAUUCUUCUCCCUCUCUCAGUCCACACUGACCUGGGAGGGGCUUCUCAAACACCACAUUUCCUAGCGUGCUGUGAGAAGAGGACUGUGAGCUAAGAAGGGAGAAAAGGGUGCAUAGUAUGAGAAGACUUAAGAGAUGGGUAGAGAAAAACUAAAAAGCAUCCAGAGAGCCAAAUAAAAAUACAGACAAACCAACCAACCAAGCACUGACGAGCCAGUAAAGAGGGAACUGUCGGGGAAUCAGGGCUGAGAGAAUCUCUGAUACAGCAGCGGAAAUAGGCACUCCCUCCUCAUCAACAAACACCUGACCUGGGUAGACCCUCUGCUUACCAAGAUCCAGUCCACCUUUUGACAUCAGCAUUCAUGCUGCCUCUUUUUACGAACCAAGCCAAAGUGGUCCCUUCCUCUGGAAAUUAUAGGAUACUUAAUGUACAUCAUAUCCAGGUAUGAUACUAGAACUUUAAGCCUGGUAAGUUAGUUACAUUUUAUAAAAGCAUCUUAUCCUAAGAUUAUAAAUUGAUGACAAGCAAGAACUGAUAGUACCCAGCAUGUGUGAUAUCCGUAAGUUUGAUGAACUGAUGAAUGGAUUACAUGACAAUAAUCUGUCCAUCAUGGAUAGAAAAAGAACACUACUAUUCUCAUAUCUGCUGUACCCAUAUUCAUCUUCAUAAAAAAUGUUUCAAGUUUUACAAUGGAGAAAUAAAGGUGUUUCCAUCCACUUCCCUCUAAAAUUACCCCCAAACAGGAUAAAAAAACAAAAACACAAACUCCAUCUUCCAUGAAACAAUGAGGUUAUUUCAACCCUGAAUUAAACUAUAUGAAGUCAGAAAGUAGACUGAGGGAUAGUAAAUGGUUAAGCUCAGAAACUGGACAAGCACCGGGGAGUUUGUAGGGAGCUCGCAGGGAGCAAUAAGUUACAAACAACCAUAAAUUCUAUGCAGCACUUUCCAUCAAAAAGCAGAGUAUUUCAGCAUCAUCUGAACCUGGGCUAGACUUAGGACUUAUACUGAUGAACAAAAUGUGACAGGAGUGAUGUUACUCAGUUCCAAGCUUAAGCCUCUAGAGACAGACUCUGCAGCUUCCACUUACAUCUCUUGAAUGCCAUCCUGAGAGCAACAUGUGAAAAAGUCCAAGCUAGCCUACUGGAAGAUGAAAGACUACAUGGAACACAGACAAGCCAUUCCGGCUGAGGCCCCCUAAGCCAACCUAACAAUCCACCCACAGAAUUGUGAGAAGUCAUUAAAUUAUCCUUUUAAACCACUAAGUUUUGGAAUGCUCUGCUUUAUAACAAAUGCUACAAGAUAAAGGGAGUUAGGUACAAUUCUCAAAAUGAAAGAGACUACUCUCUGCAAUUUCAGCUCCCUUUCCUUGCUCACAAAGGUAGCACAAGAAAUUACAUACAUGAAACAAGAAGAGAAUGCUAUUAAAAAGAGCUCCUGGAAAUUAAAAAUGUAAGAACAGAAAAUUUGUAACUCCGUAAAAACACCAAAAUAAAAAGUCAAGGAAAUUUUCCAUAAAGCAGAAUAAAGAGAUGAAUAGGGCCAUGUAUAUAUUUAUUAUAUAUCCUUUAUUAUAUAUAAAAUAAAGGAGUUCUCCACUCCAACAAAAAAAAUAAUCUAAGGGGUCUAAUAUCUGAUUAAUGAGAGUUUCACAGAAUUUUUUAAAAGUGAAAAUAGGGUAGCGGAAAUUGUCAAAGAAAUAAUACAAAAACAAAUUUCUCCAAAUGGAAGAUGGUAAGUUUAUAGAGCCAAAGGGCCAAGAGAGUACAGAAAGCACGACAAAUAGAGGAAACUGUGUAAAAGACCCACAUAUGGUGAAAUUUCAGAACAUUAGGGAUAUAUGAAGAAAAUCUUAAAACCUUCAUGGAGGGGUGGAGAUGGAGGCAAAGACAGGAAUAAGAGUAACAUCAGACCUCUCAAAAUAGUGACAUUGUAAGAUGGGAGACAGUAAAGAAAUGUCUUCAAAAUUCCAAGGGGAAAAUAUGUAUAACUUAGAAGACUACAGCCAGCUAAAUAGCAAAGAAGAGUGAAGAUUAAAUCAGGAUAUUCUCAGACGUUGAAAGUCUCAAAUCAUCUAUUCCCAUGCUCCCUUUCUCAAAAAGCUCCUGGGGGAUGUUUCCUAAAAGCUGAGAGAAUAAACCGAGAAAAAAAUAAAAUAUUGAGAUCUAGGAAACAAGAUUUUUAAAAAUAGGACAGAAAUGAAGGCAUUCCUAGAAGGACAGCUAUGUGGUACACCAGGUCCUGAGUGCACCAGGACAGGUAGAAGCAGGAGGGUAAGAGUCUCCACGAGGGGCAUUUUCAGGGGCAAAAAUUUUUUUUCCAAAAAAAAUCUGACAGGUAUGUGGAAAUGUCUUUGAAAGAUGGUUUGUAAAGCUGCUGGAGAGUGAGAACUAGCCAAAGUUAAAAAAAAAAAAAAAAACUAUGCAAAUCAAAAUAAUCAAUUAACCCUAAUAAAAACAAAAGGAGUCCUAGACUAUAUGGUACUAUAUAAUAAGAUAAAACCCUAUACUUCUUGGCUCAAUAUUAAAUAUAUAUAUUCACAUUAGUAAACAUUAAGGAUUUAACUAAUAAUUGUGGUAUCUUAUCCUGAGAGGAAGGAGGAGGGGGAUGCACAGUCAUCCACCUUCAAAGCCAGUCAAUAAACAGAUAAUAUGUAAAGCUGGAGAAUGAAGACAGCAGUAUUUACAAUCACGAUGUCAAAAACUUGAAGCAUCAGCUAAGAUUUGAAAAUGUUUGUCUGGGUACUGACACAGCAGGGUUGGUGGGAAGGAGACAGGUGGGGAUAUAUCAUUUUCACAACAAGCUUUUUAGCACACAUUUAAAGUGUAAACAUGUUAUAUGUGAUGUGUCUCAUCUUUAUGGAAGUUCAGUAGUUGUACAUGAACUGACAGAUUUCUUAUACUAACCAACCUCGUGUCAUUCAAUUUAUGGCUGAAAUGUACCAAAUCCUUAUAUGCCAUCCACAGGAAUAAUAAGCUUCCCCAUCGCCCCUCCUUCCACCACCACCACCGGGCUAAUGUCUGAGCUUUCAAUAAUCCUGUUUACCUUUUGCUGCUAUCAACACACUCUCAUCUUUCAUAAACUUCAAAAUUAAUUCAACUAAUCUAAAAAUACCUUGGCCCUUUUCUGACCACUGCUUUUCCUCACUGUUAUGUUUAUAAGGAUCUAAGAGGAUACACAGCUAGAUGGGCCCAUUAAACAGGUUUACAGUAAGUGACAAAUAUGCAACAACUCCACUAAUUUCCUUCCCCAUUAUGCAAAACCAUACACCGGCAAUCCUUUCUUCAAAUUACAGAACACACAAAAUUAUCCGCUAGGACAACUGUACUUGGUACUGUGACAUCAGAGUAAAAAAUCACCGCGUCACUGGGCGAAGCUGAAAUAUUCAAAUGUUACCUAGCACCUGACUAGAACAAAAAAACAACACUGGUGAAAACUACACCAAAAUAGAGCAAUCUGUCUUGUUUGUUGUUUGGUUUUUAACAAACAGAAAGCAGGCAAGGUGAAUUAACACCUAUACCUUGAAGGUGACAAGGAACAUCAUAUUCGAUCUCAUCAUGUCUCGACGGGCUUAGGAACAAAGUUCCAUCCACCAGUGGGAACUGUUCGAACACCGGGAGCGCCCGGUGGCACAGGGCACAGUUUACCACGUUUCUGUGGCUGGCACUGAGCGCGGCCAGAAUGAACUUCCGCAAGUCUUCCCCCUGGCCCACUUGGGCAUCGUCUUCCAUGCGCACGU
Molecule: RNA transcript, 5538 nt
Organism: Homo sapiens (human)
Lineage: Eukaryota; Metazoa; Chordata; Mammalia; Primates; Hominidae
Gene: TXLNB
Gene name: taxilin beta
Exons: 14
Source: RefSeq, marked validated